UCUCAAAGAUUAAGCCAUGCAUGUCUAAGUACAUGCCGCAUUAAGGCGAAACCGCGAAUGGCUCAUUAAAUCAGUUACGGUUUACUAGAUGUUGACUAUCCUACAUGGAUAACUGUGGUAAUUCUAGAGCUAAUACAUGCACAAAAACCGCGACUCUUGGCCGUUAAACGUUGAGGGAAGCGGUGCACUUAUUAGACCAAGACCAAUAGUGUGCCCGCAAGGGUGCACUUCCUUUGGUGGUGACUCUGGAUAAUUGAUGCUGAUCGCAUGGCCCACGUGCCGGCGACGAAUCUUUCAAGUGUCUGCCUUAUCAACUGUCGAUGGUGGGUUACAUGCCUACCAUGGUUGUAACGGGUAACGGGGAAUCAGGGUUCGAUUCCGGAGAGGGAGCCUGAGAAACGGCUACCACAUCCAAGGAAGGCAGCAGGCGCGCAAAUUACUCAAUCCCAGAGCGGGGAAGUAGUGACGAAAAAUAACAAUACGGGACUCUUUUGAGGACUCGUAAUUGGAAUGAGUACAAUCUAAAUCCUUUAACGAGGAUCAAUUGGAGGGCAAGUCUGGUGCCAGCAGCCGCGGUAAUUCCAGCUCCAAUAGCGUAUAUUAAAGUUGUUGCGGGUAAAAAGCUCGUAGUUGGAUCUCUUCUCUGUUGGUGGGUGGUCUUCCUCAUUCUGGAAGUUACUGCCUCACCCGAGAAACACUUUACUGAGUCCGGCCGCGAGGUCGGGUUCCCGUGUCAUCGUGCCCUUCACCGGGUGCGGUGGCCGCUCAGUAGUUUUACUUUGAAAAAAUUAGAGUGCUCAAAGCAGGCGACUGCCCGCAAGGGUGUUGCCCGAAUAAUGUUGCAUGGAAUAAUGGAAUAGGAUCUCGGUCUUGUUCUGUUGGUCUUUGUGCGCGCCCCGCGAGGGGAGCGCACUCUCGAGACAUUCGAGAUAAUGAUUAAGAGGGACAGACGGGGGCAUUCGUAUUGCGGCGCUAGAGGUGAAAUUCUUGGACCGCUGCAAGACGAACUACAGCGAAAGCAUUUGCCAAGAAUGUUUUCAUUAAUCAAGAACGAAAGUUAGAGGUUCGAAGGCGAUCAGAUACCGCCCUAGUUCUAACCAUAAACGAUGCCAACCAGCGAUCCGCCUGAGUUAUGUAUUUUAGCGACUCGGCGGGCAGCUUCCGGGAACCCAAAGUUUUUCGGUUCCGGGGGAAGUAUGGUUGCAAAGCUGAAACUUAAAGGAAUUGACGGAAGGGCACCACCAGGAGUGGAGCCUGCGGCUUAAUUUGACUCAACACGGGGAAACUCACCCGGCCCGGACACUGGAAGGAUUGACAGAUUGAGAGCUCUUUCUUGAUUCAGUGGGUGGUGGUGCAUGGCCGUUCUUAGUUGGUGGAGUGAUUUGUCUGGUUAAUUCCGAUAACGAACGAGACUCUAGCCUACUAAAUAGUUGUUGCGCUAGGGGAGACUUGCGGGUGGUUCCGGCUCUCGGGUCGGAGCCGCUCACAGCGACCCCCGCUUCGCGUAGCACGUACUUCUUAGAGGGACUGGCGGCGUUUCAGCCGCACGAAACAGAGCAAUAACAGGUCUGUGAUGCCCUUAGAUGUCCGGGGCCGCACGCGCGCUACACUGAAAGGAUCAGCGUGCUUCUAGUUUACACCUGCUCCGAAAGGAGUGGGGAACCCCUUGAACCCUUUUCGUGAUUGGGAUAGGGCCUUGUAAUUGUUGCCCUUGAACGAGGAAUUCCCAGUAAGCGCGAUUCAUCCAGAUCGCGUUGAUUACGUCCCUGCCCUUUGUACACACCGCCCGUCGCUACUACCGAUUGAAUGAUUGGGUGAACUCUUCGGAGUCGAUUCUAGUUGGUUCCCUUCGCGGGGUUCCGAUCUGAGUUGGCGAAGAUGCGUAAACUCGAUCAUUUAGAGGAAGUAAAAGUCGUAA
RNAcentral lists this ribosomal RNA (1918 nucleotides) under Nanorchestes sp. AD1447. Its description in RNAcentral is "SSU rRNA". It matches the Rfam family "Eukaryotic small subunit ribosomal RNA". The record is from RNAcentral. Lineage: Eukaryota; Metazoa; Arthropoda; Arachnida; Sarcoptiformes; Nanorchestidae.